RNAcentral lists this small nucleolar RNA (133 nucleotides) under Pterocles gutturalis (yellow-throated sandgrouse). RNAcentral's name for it is "Small nucleolar RNA SNORA17". It matches the Rfam family "Small nucleolar RNA SNORA17". From Rfam's summary of the family: snoRNA ACA 17 belongs to the H/ACA family of snoRNAs and is predicted to guide pseudouridylation of the 28S rRNA at positions U4659 and U4598. It shares the same host gene together with ACA43. NB This family has a high threshold value to exclude a large number of closely related sequences that do not appear to have conserved H and ACA boxes, and may be pseudogenes. Lineage: Eukaryota; Metazoa; Chordata; Aves; Pterocliformes; Pteroclidae. The record is from Rfam by way of RNAcentral.
CAUGCCCCACUCGUGUUGCAGGCAUGGCUGUCGUGCCAUGUUUGUGUCAUUAGGUGGCAGAGAGGAAGAGGCUACGUCUUUGCUAGUGCUCUGAGACCUGUGGGCACUGGAGGAUGAUGAGUAACCUGACAAU